UGCUAUAUCUCGGACAUAGCAAUUGUAACGCAUUCGAUUACAAACUAUUGCGGUUGUUUAAUGUAGACUACGUAACAAUUUAAUGGAUCAAUAAGAAAGUCUCUUUAUUUUAGCAGCGCACUGCGAGUUCUGCGAUCACCAGAGACUAUCAAACUAACAGAUGUUAGACAAUUCUCAAUUAGUUUGUUGUAUCAACUAUAAAAUUAUAAUUUUGAAAUAGCAUUGCCCUCUUUGUGUAUGACUUUGUAUGAAAGAAGACGAGAAACAAAAGACCGAUAAAAAGAGUAAAGAGAAAAUAAGAAAGAGACGAAGACGAACAUAAGAAGAAAAGACAAAAGGCUAAUACGAAAAGAUACGCGAGGAAUAGAAAAAGGAAAUUGAACAAAAAAUUAGCAGGUUGGAACAAAAUAGAGCAUAAGCGACACGCGCAUGAAUUAGGAAACGGCGAGACCAGCUGCAGUCUAAAGAACAGCCGCAGUUCUCUACUCGUUAACCAACACCGACCAACUACACCUAUAAACAUUAUUGCCGACUUUCUAUAUGUAGAUGGAACGUUACAUCGGCAGUCAAGUAAAUUAACUCGAGAGCAUAUGAAGUGUACGGUGAUAUUCCAUAGUUAAAAUGAUUCGUAUCCUCUCGUUUUAAUUUCGUUUAGUUUGGCUCGUGACUUAUUUAUACGACAGCGGAAUUCGCACCGCUUAUGUCUCCUUAAUGCGAUUGGCAAACGAAGAAAACUAAAAGAGCGACGUAUAACUUUCAUGAUAUUCAUCCAAAGGAAAACAAAAGGUAUGUUACCGAAUACUAGUUUGAC
Molecule: unclassified non-coding RNA, 811 nt
Filed under: Bombus terrestris (buff-tailed bumblebee)
Lineage: Eukaryota; Metazoa; Arthropoda; Insecta; Hymenoptera; Apidae
Description: misc RNA ENSBTSG00005036645.1
Source: RNAcentral